Molecule: ribosomal RNA, 164 nt
Filed under: uncultured bacterium
Lineage: Bacteria
Description: partial 16S rRNA
Rfam family: Bacterial small subunit ribosomal RNA
Source: RNAcentral
UAGGGAAUCUUCCACAAUGGACGCAAGUCUGAUGGGGCAACGCCGCGUGAGUGAAGAAGGGUUUCGGCUCGUAAAGCUCUGUUGUUAAAGAAGAACGUGGGUAAGAGUAACUGUUUACCCAGUGACGGUAUUUAACCAGAAAGCCACGGCUAACUACGUGCCAA